AAAUUGAAGAGUUUGAUCAUGGCUCAGAUUGAACGCUGGCGGCAGGCCUAACACAUGCAAGUCGAACGGUAACAGGAAGCGCUUGCUGCUUCGCUGACGAGUGGCGGACGGGUGAGUAAUGUCUGGGAAACUGCCUGAUGGAGGGGGAUAACUACUGGAAACGGUAGCUAAUACCGCAUAACGUCGCAAGACCAAAGAGGGG
RNAcentral lists this ribosomal RNA (202 nucleotides) under Escherichia coli. Its description in RNAcentral is "partial 16S ribosomal RNA". It matches the Rfam family "Bacterial small subunit ribosomal RNA", at positions 1 to 211 of the family's 1533-position model. Lineage: Bacteria; Pseudomonadati; Pseudomonadota; Gammaproteobacteria; Enterobacterales; Enterobacteriaceae. RNAcentral also lists the same sequence under 1 other name. The record is from RNAcentral.